AGUAACGGCGAGUGAACAGGGCAAAGCCCAAAUUUGUAAUCUGGCACUUUUUACAAGUGUCCGAGUUGUAAUUUGUAGAGCUGUUAUCCGUACUGGACCAUGUACAAGUCUGUUGAAAAGCAGCAUCAUUGAAGGUGAAAAUCCUGUAGAUGAUAUGGACUACCAGUAUAUUUGUGAUACGGUUUCUAAGAGUCGAGUUGUUUGGGAAUGCAGCUCAAAGUGGGUGGUAAAUUCCAUCUAAGGCUAAAUAUAAGUGAGAGACCGAUAGCAAACAAGUACCGUGAGGGAAAGAUGAAAAGAACUUUGAAAAUAGAGUUAACAGUACGUGAAAUUGCUGAAAGGGAAACGUUUGAAGUUAGUUUUGUAUUCGUUGGAUCAGCUUCGCAAGGAGUGUAUUCUGAUGAUAAGCAAGUCAACAUCAGUCUAUGAGUGUUGGAUAAGGGUUUUGAGAAUGUAGCAAUUUAAUUGUGUUAUAGCUUGAGACUUGGAUACGAUGCUUUGGAUUGAGGAACGCGUAGUAAGCUUUGAGCGGAUUCGAAAGGAUCUCCUUACUAUGGAUGUUGGUGAAAUAACUUUAAGCGACCCGUCUU
RNAcentral lists this ribosomal RNA (590 nucleotides) under Melampsora sp. HMAS 58573. Its description in RNAcentral is "eukaryotic LSU rRNA". It matches the Rfam family "Eukaryotic large subunit ribosomal RNA", at positions 82 to 655 of the family's 3401-position model. The record is from RNAcentral. Lineage: Eukaryota; Fungi; Basidiomycota; Pucciniomycetes; Pucciniales; Melampsoraceae.